This 324-nucleotide ribosomal RNA is filed under the name uncultured Paulinella. RNAcentral describes it as "SSU rRNA". The stretch from base 104 to 324 matches the Rfam family "Eukaryotic small subunit ribosomal RNA", at positions 734 to 955 of the family's 1831-position model. The record is from RNAcentral. Lineage: Eukaryota; Cercozoa; Imbricatea; Euglyphida.
GAUUUCUGGCAAAUUCGGAUGGCCCGGCUCCUUCUGGGGCUGCGUGCUGUCUCUGAGUCUGCCAUCCUUCCAGAGAGCUGUGCCUACCGCUUCUGCGGCCGGGCGCUGUGAUCUGGAUCUUUUACUUUGAAAAAAUUAGAGUGUUUCAAGCAGGCUUUAUGCUAUGAAUACAUUAGCAUGGAAUAAUAAUUUAGGACUUCGGUUCUAUUUUGUUGGUUUCUAGGACUGAAGUAAUGAUUGAUAGGGAUAGUUGGGGGUGCUAGUAUUCAGCGGCCAGAGGUGAAAUUCUCGGAUUCGCUGAAGACUAACUUAUGCGAAAGCAUU